Non-coding RNA from Biomphalaria pfeifferi, 372 nucleotides. Lineage: Eukaryota; Metazoa; Mollusca; Gastropoda; Planorbidae. The record is from the annotation of a GenBank genome assembly.
GUUAAAUUAAAUCCAAUUUCUUUUUUAGCUAAAUUUUAAAUAUCCAUAGAUAUGUAAGGUGUAGGAGUUAAAAGCCAAAGAAAUAUACAAACAAAAUGUUUUUGUUACACAUUGGUCUCUGGAAGCUUUGAAAAACGAUUUCAACACAGAAGGGUACAUUAUGUAGGGGAGACAAUAAGAAAAAAAAAAGUUUUUGCAACCAGAACUUUCACACAGUUUCAAAACAAGUUUAUUUCUGGGGGUAUAAUCAGUACAUUAGUAAUUCUAAUACUGUUAAUUUAUUAUUAAAUUUAAAUUAUAUUGUCUGUUACUACUUCAAAGAUUUCAACUUGAGAACUAGACUAUUCUGUUUUAAAAAAAAAAAAAAAAAAA